Molecule: RNase P RNA, 442 nt
Filed under: Candidatus Omnitrophota bacterium
Lineage: Bacteria; Pseudomonadati; Candidatus Omnitrophota
Description: Candidatus Omnitrophica bacterium RNase P RNA component class A
Rfam family: Bacterial RNase P class A
About the family: Ribonuclease P (RNase P) is a ubiquitous endoribonuclease, found in archaea, bacteria and eukarya as well as chloroplasts and mitochondria. Its best characterised activity is the generation of mature 5'-ends of tRNAs by cleaving the 5'-leader elements of precursor-tRNAs.
Source: RNAcentral
AGAGCAGGCAGGACGGUCGCCUCGAAUGAAAAACUUCUUUUUUAGAAGUUACUUCGGGGAGGAAAGUCCGAGCUCCACAGGGCAGGGUGCUUUGUAACACAGAGUCCCCCCUUCUUGCUUUCGCAAGAAAGCAAGAAGGGGAGAAGGAAAGUGCCACAGAAAAAAUACCGCCCCCAUAUGUUUGCUUGUGCAAACAAGCAAUGGGGGUAAGGGUGAAAAGGCAGUGUAAGAGACUACCGUCCCGUAGGUGACUACAGGUGCAUGGCAAACCCCACCCGGAGAAAGACCAAAUAGAAGAAGUAGGUUGCCCGCCAUAUUCUGCUAUAUAGCAGAAACUUCUUGGGUUUGGUCGCUAAAGUUAUAUGGCAACAUAUAACAUAGAUAGAUGACUGUCAUCUCGAAGUAUGGGAUACAGAACUCGGCUUAUAUGCCUGCUCCCUAU